AGCCAGUAUAGUCUAUUUCCAAAAGAGCUGUAAAGAGGCAUUUCAGAAACUUCCCUAAACAAUAUUUCUUUAAAAUGCACCAAGCUGGAUAAAGCCGCUUUGUGACCUGCAUAAAAACUCCAACGGAUAAAUGUGUAUUACCUUCCCAAAGAACUACUUCUCCAAAGUUAUUCCAGCUCUUUCCAGUUGAAAUGUCAAACUUGACAUAAAAAUGAGAUGUUCUUGCAUCAAUUAAUAAACAAAUAAAUCUGUGUUUCCCAUUGCCCUUUUCAUUCAGUGCGUUUAAUGAUUUGGUUGAAGUUACUGGUUACCUGUCUGUUUCCUCCAUUAUAUUUUAUUCCUCAGGAAUAGAAUCUACAUUCUAUUUGCCUUUAUGUCUCCAAAACCCGACACAGAGUGGGUGUUCAAGUAACUUUACUGAUAUCAGUAAUUUGCAUAGGUAAACAAUUCUGAAUAGAGUGAAUCAAACACAAACUUCAAGUAGAUUCAGCAAUUCUUACAGGAUGGCAUUAUCACUUUAAUGAUAUUUCUCAAUUUGUGUUACAAUUUGAUUAAACAAUUUUUACCCUAAAGCUUUGAGAACAGGUUUUCUGACAAUUGUAUAAUUUGAUUUUAAUGCUUAUGUCAGAGGGCAUAUGUCUUGGGGAAAGGAUAAAAGAAAAUAACAGAUUGCUAGGUGACAGUCAUCAACUGUUUGCCUUCAUGAAUUUCUUGAUUUGUAUGGUAGUCAUUUCCCACGCUUCUCCUCAAAACAAAAUAAAAUCAGAAUAAUAA
Molecule: long non-coding RNA, 774 nt
Organism: Homo sapiens (human)
Lineage: Eukaryota; Metazoa; Chordata; Mammalia; Primates; Hominidae
Gene: CHRM3-AS2
Product: CHRM3 antisense RNA 2
Source: Ensembl